This 53-nucleotide non-coding RNA is filed under the name Brenneria goodwinii. Lineage: Bacteria; Pseudomonadati; Pseudomonadota; Gammaproteobacteria; Enterobacterales; Pectobacteriaceae. The record is from RNAcentral.
GUAUCCUUAACCCGCACCUGCAAAAUCAGGUGCCGGGAUUGGUCUCCCGAAUA